GACAGAGGGUGCAAACGUUGUUCGGAAUUACUGGGCGUAAAGCGCGUGUAGGCGGCUUGGCAAGUCGGGUGUGAAAGCCCUGGGCUCAACCCAGGAAGUGCACUCGAAACUGCUUCGCUCGAGUAUCGGAGAGGAAAGCGGAAUUCUCGGUGUAGAGGUGAAAUUCGUAGAUAUCGAGAGGAACACCGGUGGCGAAGGCGGCUUUCUUGACGAUUACUGACGCUGAGACGCGAAAGCGUGGGGAGCAAACAGG
This 253-nucleotide ribosomal RNA is filed under the name uncultured bacterium. RNAcentral's name for it is "partial 16S ribosomal RNA". It matches the Rfam family "Bacterial small subunit ribosomal RNA", at positions 524 to 776 of the family's 1533-position model. The record is from RNAcentral.